GACGAACGCUGGCGGCGUGCUUAACACAUGCAAGUCGAACGGAAAGGCCCUGCUUUUGUGGGGUGCUCGAGUGGCGAACGGGUGAGUAACACGUGAGUAACCUGCCCUUGACUUUGGGAUAACUUCAGGAAACUGGGGCUAAUACCGGAUAGGAGCUCCUGCUGCAUGGUGGGGGUUGGAAAGUUUCGGCGGUUGGGGAUGGACUCGCGGCUUAUCAGCUUGUUGGUGGGGUAGUGGCUUACCAAGGCUUUGACGGGUAGCCGGCCUGAGAGGGUGACCGGCCACAUUGGGACUGAGAUACGGACCAGACUCCUACGGGAGGCAGCAGUGGGGAAUAUUGCACAAUGGGCGGAAGCCUGAUGCAGCAACGCCGCGUGCGGGAUGACGGCCUUCGGGUUGUAAACAGCUUUCGCCUGUGACGAAGCGUGAGUGACGGUAAUGGGUAAAGAAGCACCGGCUAACUACGUG
Molecule: ribosomal RNA, 468 nt
Filed under: uncultured bacterium
Lineage: Bacteria
Description: partial 16S ribosomal RNA
Rfam family: Bacterial small subunit ribosomal RNA
Source: RNAcentral